RNAcentral lists this ribosomal RNA (497 nucleotides) under uncultured bacterium. Its description in RNAcentral is "partial 16S ribosomal RNA". It matches the Rfam family "Bacterial small subunit ribosomal RNA", at positions 28 to 507 of the family's 1533-position model. The record is from RNAcentral.
GAUGAACGCUGGCGGCGUGCCUAAUACAUGCAAGUCGAGCGGACAGACGAGGAUCUUGCUCCUCUGACGUUAGCGGCGGACGGGUGAGUCACACGUGGAUAACCUACCUAUAAGACUGGGAUAACUUCGGGAAACCGGAUCUAACACCGGAUAAUAUAUUGAACCGCAUGGUUCAAUAGUGAAAGACGGUUUUGCUGUCACUUAUAGAUGGAUCCGCGCCGGAUUAGCUAGUUGGUAGGGUAACGGCUUACCAAGGCGACGAUGCGUAGCCGACCUGAGAGGGUGAUCAGCCACACUGGAACUGAGACACGGUCCAGACUCCUACGGGAGGCAGCAGUAGGGAAUCUUGCGCAAUGGGCGAAAGCCUGACGGAGCAACGCCGCGUGAGUGAUGAAGGUCUUCGGAUCGUAAAACUCUGUUAUUAGGGAAGAACAGAUGUGUAAGUAACUAUGCACGUCUUGACGGUACCUAAUCAGAAAGCCACGGCUAACUACGUG